Molecule: long non-coding RNA, 584 nt
Filed under: Solanum tuberosum (potato)
Lineage: Eukaryota; Viridiplantae; Streptophyta; Magnoliopsida; Solanales; Solanaceae
Description: long non-coding RNA (STUB_LNC009526)
Source: RNAcentral
UGCCGCCCUAUCACUAGCUCUCCCAUGGUUUUUUUCAGGCUCCCGCUCCCUCGAUUUCUCUACAGCUUCUUGAUCUGCUCUCCUUAGUCUCUUUGUUCGAGGUGAGGGUGAACGAGAUUCAGGUAACAUUCUGUCAGAAUCCUUUUCCCUAUGUGUAGCCCUAUCACUAGCUCUCCCAUGAUUUUUUUCAGGCUCCCGCUCCCUUGGCUUUUCUUCAGCUUCUCGUUCUGCUCUUCUUAGUCUUUUUGUUCGUGGUGAGGGUGAGCGAGAUUCAGGCAACAUUCUGUCAGAAUCCUUUUCCCUAUGUGUAGCCCCUAUCACUAGUCUCUCCCAUGAUUUUUUUCAGGCUCCCGCUCCCUUGGCUUUUCUUCAGCUUCUCGUUCUGCUCUUCUUAGUCUUUUUGUUCGUGGUGAGGGUGAGCGAGAUUCAGGCAACAUUCUGUCAGAAUCCUUUUCCCUAUGUGUAGCCCUAUCAUUAGAUCUCCUGUGAUUCUUCUCAGGAUCCCGCUCACUCAAUUUUUCUUCAGUCUCUCUUUCUGCUCUCCUCAGUCUUUUUGUUCGUGGUGAGGGUGAGCGCGGUUCAGG